GGAGAAUCUUGACCUCUAAAGAUAAGUCUUCAGAACUUGGAAGAGCUGUUAUCACAGAGUGAAGAAAUUCCAGUGACUCUUUGGCCUAUUGUGAUGUCAUAUGGUUAAUUCUGCAAAGGUAUCUCUCUGAAGUCUGUGAAAUCAAGUCUCUAUUAAUGAUUAGAUCCCCCAUCUGAUCCUAAGAUGUUAGAACAACCUCCUCUGGCCUUUUCUAUCAUUGCUGCUGAGAACUGAGAAUUUUCACUGGUUGCCUGAAAGCUUUCACCAUUUCCAUUCCCUGCUUCACAAAGCCUGAAAACCAGUAUUAAGAACUUAAGCGUUUUAUAUACAGUAUCAGCAUCUGAAAAUGGAAUUAUUAACCAUUCUUUGUAUCAUCAGAAUUUUUUAGUCACUGGGAGACUCAAUGCCAAAUCAUCCGAGGCCACCUCCUUUGAAAUCCUUGUCUUUGCAAAGAACAACAGCAAAACUGAUU
Molecule: long non-coding RNA, 472 nt
Organism: Mesocricetus auratus (golden hamster)
Lineage: Eukaryota; Metazoa; Chordata; Mammalia; Rodentia; Cricetidae
Exons: 3
Source: RefSeq, a predicted model, not a curated record